RNAcentral lists this ribosomal RNA (468 nucleotides) under uncultured bacterium. Its description in RNAcentral is "bacterial SSU rRNA". It matches the Rfam family "Bacterial small subunit ribosomal RNA", at positions 335 to 796 of the family's 1533-position model. The record is from RNAcentral.
ACUCCUACGGGAGGCAGCAGUGGGGAAUAUUGCACAAUGGGGGAAACCCUGAUGCAGCCAUGCCGCGUGUGUGAAGAAGGCCUUCGGGUUGUAAAGCACUUUCAGUAGGGAGGAAGGUAGUGUAGUUAACACCUGCAUUAUUUGACGUUACCUACAGAAGAAGCACCGGCUAACUCCGUGCCAGCAGCCGCGGUAAUACGGAGGGUGCGAGCGUUAAUCGGAAUUACUGGGCGUAAAGCGCAUGCAGGCGGCCUGUUAAGUCAGAUGUGAAAGCCCGGGGUCUUAACCUCGGAAUUGCAUUUGAAACUGGCAGGCUAGAGUCUUGUAGAGGGGUAGAAUUUCAGGUGUAGCGGUGAAAUGCGUAGAGAUCUGAAGGAAUACCAGUGGCGAAGGCGGCCCCCUGGACAAAGACUGACGCUCAGAUGCGAAAGCGUGGGAGCAAACAGGAUUAGAUACCCCUGGUAGCAC